This 497-nucleotide ribosomal RNA is filed under the name uncultured bacterium. Its description in RNAcentral is "partial 16S ribosomal RNA". It matches the Rfam family "Bacterial small subunit ribosomal RNA", at positions 28 to 507 of the family's 1533-position model. The record is from RNAcentral.
GAUGAACGCUGGCGGCGUGCCUAAUACAUGCAAGUAGAGCGAACGGACGAGAAGCUUGCUUCUCUGAUGUUAGCGGCGGACGGGUGAGUAACACGUGGAUAACCUACCUAUAAGACUGGGAUAACUUCGGGAAACCGGAGCUAAUACCGGAUGAUAUUUUGAACCGCAUGGUUCAAAAGUGAAAGACGGUCUUGCUGUCACUUAUAGCUGGAUCCGCGCUGCAUUAGCUAGUUGGUAAGGUAACGGCUUACCAAGGCAACGAUGCAUAGCCGACCUGAGAGGGUGAUCGGCCACACUGGAACUGAGACACGGUCCAGACUCCUACGGGAGGCAGCAGUAGGGAAUCUUCCGCAAUGGGCGAAAGCCUGACGGAGCAACGCCGCGUGAGUGAUGAAGGUCUUCGGAUCGUAAAACUCUGUUAUUAGGGAAGAACAUAUGUGUAAGUAACUGUGCACAUCUUGACGGUACCUAAUCAGAAAGCCACGGCUAACUACGUG